This 253-nucleotide ribosomal RNA is filed under the name uncultured bacterium. Its description in RNAcentral is "partial 16S ribosomal RNA". It matches the Rfam family "Bacterial small subunit ribosomal RNA", at positions 524 to 776 of the family's 1533-position model. The record is from RNAcentral.
UACAGAGGUCUCGAGCGUUAGGCGGAAUCACUGGGCUUAAAGCGUGUGUAGGCGGAUCGUUAAGUGCCUUGUGAAAUCCCACGGCUCAACCGUGGAACUGCUUGGCAUACUGGCGGUCUUGAGCAACCUAGGGGCGAGCGGAACAAAUGGUGGAGCGGUGAAAUGCGUAGAUAUCAUUUGGAACGCCAAUGGUGAAAACAGGUAGCUGGGAGUGUGCUGACGCUGAGACACGAAAGCUAGGGGAGCGAACGGG